GGUUAAGCGACUAAGCGUACACGGUGGAUGCCCUGGCAGUCAGAGGCGAUGAAGGACGUGCUAAUCUGCGAUAAGCGUCGGUAAGGUGAUAUGAACCGUUAUAACCGGCGAUUUCCGAAUGGGGAAACCCAGUGUGUUUCGACACACUAUCAUUAACUGAAUCCAUAGGUUAAUGAGGCGAACCGGGGGAACUGAAACAUCUAAGUACCCCGAGGAAAAGAAAUCAACCGAGAUUCCCCCAGUAGCGGCGAGCGAACGGGGAGCAGCCCAGAGCCUGAAUCAGUGUGUGUGUUAGUGGAAGCGUCUGGAAAGGCGCGCGAUACAGGGUGACAGCCCCGUACACAAAAAUGCACAUGCUGUGAGCUCGAUGAGUAGGGCGGGACACGUGGUAUCCUGUCUGAAUAUGGGGGGACCAUCCUCCAAGGCUAAAUACUCCUGACUGACCGAUAGUGAACCAGUACCGUGAGGGAAAGGCGAAAAGAACCCCGGCGAGGGGAGUGAAAAAGAACCUGAAACCGUGUACGUACAAGCAGUGGGAGCACGCUUAGGCGUGUGACUGCGUACCUUUUGUAUAAUGGGUCAGCGACUUAUAUUCUGUAGCAAGGUUAACCGAAUAGGGGAGCCGAAGGGAAACCGAGUCUUAACUGGGCGUUAAGUUGCAGGGUAUAGACCCGAAACCCGGUGAUCUAGCCAUGGGCAGGUUGAAGGUUGGGUAACACUAACUGGAGGACCGAACCGACUAAUGUUGAAAAAUUAGCGGAUGACUUGUGGCUGGGGGUGAAAGGCCAAUCAAACCGGGAGAUAGCUGGUUCUCCCCGAAAGCUAUUUAGGUAGCGCCUCGUGAAUUCAUCUCCGGGGGUAGAGCACUGUUUCGGCAAGGGGGUCAUCCCGACUUACCAACCCGAUGCAAACUGCGAAUACCGGAGAAUGUUAUCACGGGAGACACACGGCGGGUGCUAACGUCCGUCGUGAAGAGGGAAACAACCCAGACCGCCAGCUAAGGUCCCAAAGUCAUGGUUAAGUGGGAAACGAUGUGGGAAGGCCCAGACAGCCAGGAUGUUGGCUUAGAAGCAGCCAUCAUUUAAAGAAAGCGUAAUAGCUCACUGGUCGAGUCGGCCUGCGCGGAAGAUGUAACGGGGCUAAACCAUGCACCGAAGCUGCGGCAGCGACGCUGAUGCGUUGUUGGGUAGGGGAGCGUUCUGUAAGCCUGCGAAGGUGUGCUGUGAGGCAUGCUGGAGGUAUCAGAAGUGCGAAUGCUGACAUAAGUAACGAUAAAGCGGGUGAAAAGCCCGCUCGCCGGAAGACCAAGGGUUCCUGUCCAACGUUAAUCGGGGCAGGGUGAGUCGACCCCUAAGGCGAGGCCGAAAGGCGUAGUCGAUGGGAAACAGGUUAAUAUUCCUGUACUUGGUGUUACUGCGAAGGGGGGACGGAGAAGGCUAUGUUGGCCGGGCGACGGUUGUCCCGGUUUAAGCGUGUAGGCUGGUUUUCCAGGCAAAUCCGGAAAAUCAAGGCUGAGGCGUGAUGACGAGGCACUACGGUGCUGAAGCAACAAAUGCCCUGCUUCCAGGAAAAGCCUCUAAGCAUCAGGUAACAUCAAAUCGUACCCCAAACCGACACAGGUGGUCAGGUAGAGAAUACCAAGGCGCUUGAGAGAACUCGGGUGAAGGAACUAGGCAAAAUGGUGCCGUAACUUCGGGAGAAGGCACGCUGAUAUGUAGGUGAGGUCCCUCGCGGAUGGAGCUGAAAUCAGUCGAAGAUACCAGCUGGCUGCAACUGUUUAUUAAAAACACAGCACUGUGCAAACACGAAAGUGGACGUAUACGGUGUGACGCCUGCCCGGUGCCGGAAGGUUAAUUGAUGGGGUUAGCGCAAGCGAAGCUCUUGAUCGAAGCCCCGGUAAACGGCGGCCGUAACUAUAACGGUCCUAAGGUAGCGAAAUUCCUUGUCGGGUAAGUUCCGACCUGCACGAAUGGCGUAAUGAUGGCCAGGCUGUCUCCACCCGAGACUCAGUGAAAUUGAACUCGCUGUGAAGAUGCAGUGUACCCGCGGCAAGACGGAAAGACCCCGUGAACCUUUACUAUAGCUUGACACUGAACAUUGAGCCUUGAUGUGUAGGAUAGGUGGGAGGCUU
This 2131-nucleotide ribosomal RNA is filed under the name Escherichia coli. Its description in RNAcentral is "partial 23S ribosomal RNA". It matches the Rfam family "Bacterial large subunit ribosomal RNA", at positions 1 to 2157 of the family's 2925-position model. The record is from RNAcentral. Lineage: Bacteria; Pseudomonadati; Pseudomonadota; Gammaproteobacteria; Enterobacterales; Enterobacteriaceae.